UUUAAAAAAAUGGAAACUAUAAAAUCGAAGUAAUCAAAACAAACAAAAAACUAGUGAAGCCACUGUGGUACUUCGAACACAGCAUAGCAGCUACGAAAAAUUAAAGACACCAACUGCAAUAACUAAAUAUUAAAAAUAGUAGUCAACAGACUUUUUUAAACUGUCGUACUAUAAUGGAGCAUCUGGACCUUGCGGGAUAUCAUGUCAACUCAUCACAAAAUUGGAACAGACUAGGCGCAUUUGAGCAGAAUGAUGCAGUCUGCUUGUCCAGCUCCCAGCGAGUGUUAGAGCCCAUCAUGGAGGAGACCAGCGAGGACGAGGAAAGUGACCGGCGUAGCCAAGAGCACAGAUCGACCAUCUUGAGCUCCAUAGAGUCCGAAAUUUCCUCAGUUAUACGUUUAGAAGAGAUUAGGAAUCAGAUAAUGGAUAUUAAUCCUAAAAAAGGCAAUCUUACUGGUUUUUCCGACGCAGAUAUCGAUACCAUGUCUGAUCGGGAAUUUUUUUGCCCACCCAAGCGACCGAGGCACUGCCUGGAGUCGGAUCCUAGUCAGAGUCUUCAGGACAGCGUCCAACUGCGCCGGCUUCUCGAUCCAGAACGCAAUAGCAGCGUUGAGUGCGAUCUGGUCACAGAAGCAGUUGUUCGAAACACCUCCGGAAGCCAGGGACAGCAGAGCAGCUCAGGCAGUCGGCGAGGCUGCACAUUUAAGGACUUUUAUUCCGAAAAUUACUCCUACCACUCGCUAUCGCGGAGCUCCUCCCUGAUGCAGUUCGAGUCUCUGGAACGGCAAUUUACGCUCCAGGAGCAACACCACAGUAUGAACAGUCUGGGCAACAGCUCACCGUCGCUUACCUACGAGGUGGGUGCCGAAACUUGGACCACUAACAGCAAUCCGGAAAGCCGAAAGGGAUCGGCCUCUUCGCUGUCCCUGAUGAAGCGGUUCGAGCCUAGCGACUAUAGUCGCCUUCAUCAAACAUACUACGAGCUGAACAAACUUAACCUUGAGACCCAGCAGCCGCACGACUUGUUCUCAAAGGACCUGUACCAGGCGGACUUGAAACCUAACUUCGAGAACAGUUCCAGUUUCAGCUCUUGCAGCGAUAGCAGAAGUCCCUGCCUUAGCUCGUGUCUCGUCAGUGUAGGUGCGCCGACAACUAAGUCCGGAACUGGAGUACAGUACAUCGCUGCCGCCCUCUCGAAAGACUCUAGCUACUGCGACCCCAGGACGCAGCACGAAAAAUCGAAAUCCAUGUCAAAGAAUUUUGACAAGCUCUGCGAAGAUGAAAAGCUGCUCCUGCUGGAGGAGGCCACACCGCAUUCCCACAUGAACAUCAUCAUACAUGAUUUGUGCCAGCCCAAAAUAGAGCAAACUGUGAACACAGUCGCAACACAGUGCUCUCCGUCGUCGUCUAUUAAUAGUUCACCGGUGGGGGACGGCUCUCAAUCGGAAUCUUCUUUGCCGCUGUCACCGCCGCCCAGAUGGGCAUCGACGUCGUCGUCCGCCUCGUUCACUUGGCUUCGCAACAGUUUGCCCGACAUCUGCGAGUCGCGAGGUCUACUCUCAGUCGGAAUCAUCAACACGAAAUCUAAAAACGAGGCAAACGGCUACGAUCUGGCCGCCCCCAGCAUCAGCAGCCGCCAUCACACCCGGAGCAGCAGUUCCAUUAACAGCUGCGGCGGCAAACCGCUCCUAGGCGCCUGUCACUCUGUCAAUGAACUGCUGAAGCUUGGACAGCCGCGGAGUCUGUGUCAUACUCUAAGUAGCCAACGCAACUGUCACAGCAAUAACAGCGCAAGUAGCUCCUGUGAGGAGCUGCACUUUGAGCGGGAGACGAGGCGUAAAGACUUAUUUCUUGACUGCAACAACCUUUCGAAAAUCCUUAACGAUCGCGCUUGGAGAGCAGUGGGUGCGGCAAGUGCAGGAUAUUUAAACGCCAGUAACCAGAAUCUCACGCUUCUGUCCUAUAAGGAUAAGCUGCCAUCAGUAGAGCGUCUUCAGAAUAAACACAAGAGAAGCCAACCAGAAGAGAUGUCGGAGAGAAACAGCGUUGAUGGACGAUACUAUAAGCAAGUGAAUUGCAGGAGAAACUUUUUGUUGGAUGAGAUCAGCAAAUUAUACGACAAAAAUGUGUCUAUACUGACAGAUAAGCGAGUCUUAGAUGACCAAUUCCCUUCGCCAGAUUACUGCCAUUUAAAUACACCCGAGGAGUUCUCACAAGUGCACCACGUACAACUGACCAUUAAGCCGCCACCGCGCCAAAAGUGCCCCCUCCAGAUGGCAGUAAACCUGUCCAUUAAUAACGAUGUCAAAACAUUCGACGAGGACCCUACUAAUUUGUGCACAUCGUACGCCAAAAGCCUAGAGCAGUGCCACUUCGACGUGCAAUGGGAGGCCAAGACGGACAUAUUGCAAAGGCCCCUAGCCACGCGCCGUUUCCAGACCCAUUUGCAGAAGUUGGUGGACAAAGAGGGCAUACUGGUCAGCAGCACCCCAAAUCUCUCGGCCUGUGACGGCCGACAUCAAGCAGAGGACAUCUAUGAGAGCAGUACUCACACUUCGAUGCACCAAUCAAAGCCGCUGAGUAUUCUGCUGGCAGCACGAUUGCGUAACUCCUUCGGAAAGGGGGUAAGCUUCUGCCCAGUGGUAAGCAAAUACUCGUGGCAGGAGCAGUCCGCCGUGGAGCCCCCCGAGGACCACUUCAGUGAAGGCGAGCUAGGCCCGCCGAUCGACGAGAAAUUGCUGAACAAUGCGGAUAAAACUGUAGUGCACAACUCCAAAGAUAACGAGAGUGUCGCCGCGCUCUUUGAACAAGAAAAGACGCAAUUUUUAAGGGAGCAGGCAAUCGCUCAAGGGCCCCUUUCAUCCGCGUCCGCACACGCAAUGAACAAUAAUUCUUCAUUCAAAGAGACCGUUAGCAGCGAAUGUGAAACAAAAAUCCAAGCACUCGAUUGCCUUGAUCAAAAGCCCGAAACUUAUACCGCUCCGGAACGCGAGAUCGUUUUAGGCAGCCCAGUCAGACUUGGCGUCGUCGUGAACCUAUCGAUUAACUCAGAACCCCCCAACGUUUCCACAUCUACUGCGAAUGCAGGACUUCUCAGCCUGCCAAUUCUAAGCAAGCCUCCGACCAACCGCGCCCAUCACAUCUUGUACGCCUCCCAGCCCUUGCUGCAGCGUUACGAGCAGGAGAAUCGGCAGAAUCACAACAUGCCGCUGGACAGCGCACUCACUACUGUCGGCAGAGCAGAAGACAAAUACUCCGGCGCCAGAGGUUUAUUCUCCAGGCUCACCACCGGACUGCGCUCCUCGCUGCGUCGCAAAAAAGAGGGGCAGCGGGACAUGAAGGCCGGUCCCAAACAGCCCUUAGUGAUCAAAGCGUCGCCUAAAAAAGAUUCACGGCAAAGCACGGACAAAGGCGGAUUGGACCUCUUUGUGCACAAUCAUCUGAAGCCACCGAUAAUACUGAUGGAUGCAAUCCAACUAAACGAAAGCCAGAUCGAUUCCGUGGCGAGCACUGCCAACAUGCACAGCCGCCAGCUGGCCCGGACCUCUACCCCGAAAAAGGUGACCGGCAGGCCGCCGCUGCCCAAGCUGCCACCCCGCAGUGGCAUUCUGGCGCAUACGCCUCCGGAAGCUGUUGGCAGCACCGACAGUGUUGCCCAUAGCACAGGGGCCUUGAUGACCGCCGAACGCGAACAGCAAAAACAGUUUACCGACCAGUUAACAGCGGGCAUACAAAUGACGAGGGUGCAGGACAUCGAGCCAUGGGAAAACAUCACCCAGAAACAACUUGGAGGAAGCUUAAAAACGUCCAGACCCACUGUGGUCACCGCCGUAACUGUGGCUGUUCCUCCUGUGGAUGCCGUAGGCAAGAUGGGCCUGAUCGAGACCAAUCUGGACACUCAUGAGACGGUAAUUUCGGGAAGGACUCGUUCCCUUAUGGACAUAAGUUUUCAUCCACAUAGUCUGCCGCACAAGCGAUACAUCGUGAAGCAACUGAAUGUGUAUAGUACCUAUGACAUGGAUAAAAUGGAUGGGCAGACAAUCAAGUCCUCGACAGGUAGUCGUAGCGUCGAAGUCACAUCUUUUCGCAGGCCGCACAAGAGCAUGGAGUUUCUGCUGGACAAGGAAAACCAGAAAAAUGUUUUGCCCCCCGAGAACGAACUGCAGAAGUCGCAUGACCACAGUACGGCCGCCUUGAGCGAACACCAACUGCGCGUCCAGGCAUCGCUUCAGCGGCUCAAUAUACCAGAUUGGUACCGUGAUUACAAUAAACAGAUCCGAAAGUUACCAGAUGUCGGCAAUGCCGCCACAAACUCAAUUUCCGGUGGACUUCAGCUUGGCAACUUUACCCGCAAAGGCACACAGGAGUCAGGACGUUGGCUGGGGCUCAACUCAAAGACUACCUCUCUCAGCUCGCUGGGAUCGGAUCGAAGUCCCCUCCUGAUGAGUCCCUCGGCAAAUAGUCAUCACGGCGGCCAUAACACCUAUCCUUGCGUCCCGAUCGCGGGUCACGGCUCAGCUACUGGACAGACGGGCGUGAGUGCCACGCGCUGGUCCACCUCGCACCUCAGCUCCACUCAGACGUCACCAAGUGUCUCGCAGCGCGGAAACUUUGCACGUGGAGCCUAUAUUAAUAGUAGCUUCAUGUCCGUGGCUAUCGCAAACGGCGGAUUGCGUAAUUCAUACCGGCAGCCGUACCUGGGGUGGCGCAGUACCGAGAAACUAUCCCAUUGGACGCCCCAUGAACGUCUGGCCAACUCGCUGCUGACCCAUCGGACAAAGCCAUCACCCAUUUAUGCACUCAAUGAAAACAGAAUCGUUCAUUCUGUAACACCAGAGAUUCAAAGCUCAAUUAAGGAAGUCACAUCCGCAAUCGUUCAUUACGUAGACCACCAGCAUCAGAUCCAACAUUCGCGCAGCCGCUCAGCCAGUCCGAAUUUGAGGGUCUUCCCACAGAGAUCCAUCCACCAUCUACCAUCCGUUGAACGGAUGGUCCCCAUCCAGAUUUGACGGACUAUUUUAUGCGAUAGUUAGGCGAUAAUUUUAGGUGAAAACCCUAAACUCUUCUUCUUGAAAGUGGAAAGUGGAACAUUCACUACGAAAACGUAAACAAUAAUGACGGGAAACUUUUGAAAAAGGAAGGCGACAAAGCAAUAGUCAAUAAUACGCGAACUGCCGGUGGCAAACUGAGGUGGACUAAGCAGAUGGAGGUCCUGCUCAUCGAUAUUUGGCAGGAGAGCAUCGAGGAGUUGCGGGGAGCCCGAAAGACCAAGACAGGCAGGAAAAAAAUAAAAUGGGGCCAAGCGGUGGCGCUCCUUCCGCGUGGCAGUAUUAUUAGUUGGUCCACUCGUUUCUAGGCGCAUACCGCAUCCACAACAUGGAGCAGAACCCCUUGGAGAACGAGAAUACUAGGGAAUAGUUUGUGGAGCUCUUGGAUGCAGACCCAGAUGACAGGGAAGCCUCUACCUGCAGCGGCAGUCAACGCUCAGGCGGCAAAGGUGGACCACAAGUCGGAGCUUGUGGAGAUAGAUCGAGAAAGACUGGAGGAGCAGAGAGCGCAGACAGAAAUAUUGUCGAGAAUGGCAGACAGCCAAGUAAAAUUCCAAUCGGAUUUGUUAGAGCUUUUAAGAAAAUCAACGAAUUCCUAAUAAAUUUAUAAUUUAUAAUAAAUAGACCAAA
Molecule: non-coding RNA, 5678 nt
Organism: Drosophila suzukii
Lineage: Eukaryota; Metazoa; Arthropoda; Insecta; Diptera; Drosophilidae
Source: RefSeq, a predicted model, not a curated record